RNAcentral lists this ribosomal RNA (253 nucleotides) under uncultured bacterium. RNAcentral describes it as "partial 16S ribosomal RNA". It matches the Rfam family "Bacterial small subunit ribosomal RNA", at positions 524 to 776 of the family's 1533-position model. The record is from RNAcentral.
UACAGAGGGUGCGAGCGUUAAUCGGAAUUACUGGGCGUAAAGCGUGCGUAGACGGUUAUUUAAGUCGGGUGUGAAAGCCCCGGGCUCAACCUGGGAAUUGCAUUCGAGACUGAAUAGCUAGGGUGCGGUAGAGGGAAGCGGAAUUUCCGGUGUAGCGGUGAAGUGCGUAGAUAUCGGAAGGAACAUCAGUGGCGAAAGCGGCUUCCUGGACCAGCACCGACGUUCAGGCACGAAAGCGUGGGGAGCAAACAGG